GGCAACAUGGCCGAGUGGUCUAAGGCGCUGGAAUUAGGUAAUCUUCAAAUCCAAAUCCAGUCUUUCUAAGGCGUGGGUUCAAAUCCCACUGUUGUCA
Molecule: non-coding RNA, 97 nt
Organism: Mycena sp. CBHHK59/15
Lineage: Eukaryota; Fungi; Basidiomycota; Agaricomycetes; Agaricales; Mycenaceae
Source: the annotation of a GenBank genome assembly